AUUGAACGCUGGCGGCAGGCCUAACACAUGCAAGUCGAGCGGAGCGGCGGACGCGUGCGUAAUGCCUAGGAAUCUGCCUGGUAGUGGGGGCUAACGUUCGGAACCGGGCGCUAAUACCGCUUCCUAUCAGAUGAGCCUAGGUCGGAUUAGCUAGUGGGUGGGGUAAAGGCCUACCAAGGCGACGAUCCGUAACUGGUCUGAGAGGGUGAUCAGUCACACUGGAACUGAGACACGGUCAAGACUCCUACGGGAGGCAGCAGUGGGGAAUAUUGGACAAUGGGCGAAAGCCUGAUCCAGCCAUGCCGCGUGUGUGAAGAAGGUCUUCGGAGUGUAAAGCACUUUAAGUUGGGAGGCGUUACCAACAGAAUAAGCACCGGCUAACUUCGUGCCAGCAGCCGCGGUAAUUC
Molecule: ribosomal RNA, 407 nt
Filed under: uncultured bacterium
Lineage: Bacteria
Description: partial 16S ribosomal RNA
Rfam family: Bacterial small subunit ribosomal RNA
Source: RNAcentral